This 253-nucleotide ribosomal RNA is filed under the name uncultured bacterium. Its description in RNAcentral is "partial 16S ribosomal RNA". It matches the Rfam family "Bacterial small subunit ribosomal RNA", at positions 524 to 776 of the family's 1533-position model. The record is from RNAcentral.
UACGUAGGGGGCAAGCGUUGUCCGGAAUCAUUGGGCGUAAAGAGCGUGUAGGCGGCCAGGUAGGUCUGCUGUGAAAACUCGAGGCUCAACCUCGAGACGCCGGCGGAAACCAUCUGGCUAGAGUCCGGAAGAGGAGAGUGGAAUUCCUGGUGUAGCGGUGAAAUGCGCAGAUAUCAGGAAGAACACCCGUGGCGAAGGCGGCUCUCUGGGACGGUACUGACGCUGAGACGCGAAAGCGUGGGGAGCGAACAGG